ACAGCAGCCGCCGCGGGAAUACGUAGGUGGCAAGCGUUGUCCGGAAUUAUUGGGCGUAAAGGGCUCGCAGGCGGUUUCUUAAGUCUGAUGUGAAAGCCCCCGGCUCAACCGGGGAGGGUCAUUGGAAACUGGGAAACUUGAGUGCAGAAGAGGAGAGUGGAAUUCCACGUGUAGCGGUGAAAUGCGUAGAGAUGUGGAGGAACACCAGUGGCGAAGGCGACUCUCUGGUCUGUAACUGACGCUGAGGAGCGAAAGCGUGGGGAGCGAACAGGAUUAGAGACCCGCGUAGUCCCUGUCUCUUAUAC
This 305-nucleotide ribosomal RNA is filed under the name uncultured bacterium. RNAcentral's name for it is "partial 16S ribosomal RNA". It matches the Rfam family "Bacterial small subunit ribosomal RNA", at positions 508 to 807 of the family's 1533-position model. The record is from RNAcentral.